ACUCAAAGGAAUAGACGGGGGCCCGCACAAGCAGCGGAGCAUGUGGUUUAAUUCGAAGCAACGCGAAGAACCUUACCAAGGCUUGACAUCCAAUUAAAGCUAUGGAAACAUAGUGUCCCUUCGGGGGAAUUGAGACAGGUGGUGCAUGGUUGUCGUCAGCUCGUGUCGUGAGAUGUUGGGUUAAGUCCCGCAACGAGCGCAACCCCUGUGAUCGGUUACCAGCACGUUAAGGUGGGGACUCCGAUCAGACUGCCGGGGACAACUCGGAGGAAGGUGGGGACGACGUCAAAUCAUCAUGCCCCUUACGUCUUGGGCUACACACGUGCUACAAUGGCUGUAACAAAGGGAAGCAACAACGCAAGUUGAAGCGGAUCUCGUAAAAACAGUCCCAGUUCGGAUCGUGGGCUGCAACCCGCCCACGUGAAGUCGGAGUUGCUAGUAAUCGCGAAUCAGCAUGUCGCGGUGAAUACGUUCCCGGGCCUUGUACACACCGCCCGU
This 498-nucleotide ribosomal RNA is filed under the name uncultured bacterium. RNAcentral describes it as "bacterial SSU rRNA". It matches the Rfam family "Bacterial small subunit ribosomal RNA", at positions 899 to 1397 of the family's 1533-position model. The record is from RNAcentral.